UCAGCUCCAAACUGUCAUCAAGCCUGCAUGAAAUUUUGUGUUCCAUUUUGGAACAGUUUACUCUCAUGAGUGGGUUUGUGCUGCUGUUACUGCAGUCCCUUGUCCCGAUGGAAGACUUGGCUUCUUCAGUGAGCAUGCUCCAAUACUACACUACCAUUCAACCUAGUGUGAGCUGAAGCUGGGGAAUUUCGGGCUUUGUUUGAUGGUGUUGCUCCUCUUCCGAGGAAGAUACAUUUAGAGGAGACUCGAGAAGACAUGAAAGCUGCGGCCAAAUUGCAAUGGUAAUUGAUUAACAUUAAAUGUCCAAAGCGCAAUAUCAUCAGUAGUCAAUAAGAGUAAUUUGCUAUCAGCAUUAAUUCAUCCAUGACUAUGAGAUAUAUUAACUCUUGAAAAUGUCGAACUGGGUAGCAUUUUUUGUGACUUAUCAGUUUUGAAGGAUAGCUAGAGACUAUUGAUUUUAAAUCGUCGACACAUGAUUUGCUUUAUACAAACGAUGUUUGGGUGCAUUUCACUUUGAGAGUUGUUGCCAGUUUUUGAAUAUGAAUAUUCUCACUUGCUAGCACAUGUUAUAACAUGUCAAGUUGAUUCCUAUCAGUCAAAUAUAAUCUUGUGGAGAAGUAUGAUAAUAUUCUAGAGCAAUCUGGCUGCAUGAACUAAUACAUGUUCCUGCGAAAUGUUUACUUGUUUCUGUCUGGGAAAGAAAAAAUUAAUACAUUAUAUAUUCAGAUGAUUUUAGAAGAAGUACCACCUUGGUGAAAUAUCAUAUAACAUUCUCUAGAAACAUUUUCCUAAUCCUACAAUCAAAGCAUGCUAAUGGUUUAUAUUUUGUGUUGCUGCAUGCUUAGUAUCCUUUACUUUUGACCACAUAUUGCUCAAUGAUGGUACCCGAACAAAAUCACAUGUUAUGAAAAUGAUCGAGGGAUACGAAACUGUACCGUUCAAGUCAAAAUUUAAUGAGUGGCCACCAACUCCUGAUUUGAAAUUGUCGUCUGAGGAUGGAAGAGGCAAAGUUGCAGGUUGCUAUCUACAAAUUAUAAUGCUUGGUACUAUGGAUUGCUAGAAGGUUCAUAUCACAUAUAUUUACAUUUUCUAACACUGGCAUUUUUCAUCACAGUAUUAGGAUGAAAUGGAAUUUCCAUUCGCCAAAAAAGAAAA
Triticum urartu is the source of this 1155-nucleotide non-coding RNA. NCBI's taxonomy places the organism in Eukaryota, Viridiplantae, Streptophyta, Magnoliopsida, Poales, Poaceae. The record is from RefSeq and is a predicted model, not a curated record.